CCUACAGCGACUGGCUUCCAUCCCUGUCUCUGCUUUCUACAGUCUCUCGCAGAAGAAGAAUUUUGAACAUUUUCUGCGUUUCUGCUUUGCAAAGGAGGAUUCGACCUUGGAAGCUGCCGGGGACAUCUUGAAGGAAUGGAGCCAGGAAAGACAAAACCACUGACACAUCGAGAGAAGAGAGAAGCCGAGGCAGGCUUUGGGAACCGUUGGCCACCUGCCCUACGGGGAGACUGGUUUCCUGGGAAAUUUGCACACUGAUUUCCUUUCCUCCUCCCUCUGCGGGGUCUGUGAGGCCCCCGGCCAGCUGGUCUUCCGAGGUCUCAGCAAGAUGAUGGGGGCUGCCACUCAGCCCAGUGGCGAUACAGCUGUGUGUGUCAAAGAAUAUUCACACCCCUGAAGAUGCUGAAAACCUCCCAGGGGUUGCUACUUUCUCAGGGUGUAAAAGUUUUAAUUAAAAUUGCACUCCGUGCUGUUUUGUCUGCAAA
Thamnophis sirtalis is the source of this 485-nucleotide non-coding RNA. The record is from RefSeq and is a predicted model, not a curated record. NCBI's taxonomy places the organism in Eukaryota, Metazoa, Chordata, Lepidosauria, Squamata, Natricidae.